ACGGGGUGCAGCAGGCGCGAAAACUUUGCAAUACACGAAAGUGUGACAGGGCUAUCCUGAGUGCCAUCCGCUGAGGAAGGCUUUUACCCAGUCUAGAAAGCUGGGGGAAUAAGGAGAGGGCAAGUCUGGUGUCAGCCGCCGCGGUAAUACCAGCUCUCCGAGUGGUGUGGAUGUUUAUUGGGCCUAAAGCAUCCGUAGCUGGCUAAGUUAGUCCCUUGUUAAAUCCACCGAAUUAAUCGUUGGAUUGCGGGGGAUACUGCUUGGCUAGGGGACGAGAGAGGCAGACGGUAUUUCCGGGGUAGGGGUGAAAUCCUAUAAUCCCGGGAAGACCACCAGUGGCGAAGGCUGUCUGCUAGAACGCGCCCGACGGUGAGGGAUGAAAGCUGGGGGGGCGAACCGGAUUAGAUACCCGGGUAGUCCCAGCUGUAAACGAUGCAGGCUAGGUGUUUGGACGGCCACGUGCCGUUCUAGUGCCGCAGGGAAGCUGUUAAGCCUGCCGCCUGGGGAGUACGAUCGCAAGAUUGAAACUUAAAGGAAUUGGCGGGGGAGCAC
RNAcentral lists this ribosomal RNA (552 nucleotides) under uncultured archaeon. Its description in RNAcentral is "bacterial SSU rRNA". It matches the Rfam family "Archaeal small subunit ribosomal RNA", at positions 325 to 879 of the family's 1478-position model. The record is from RNAcentral.